Molecule: unclassified non-coding RNA, 347 nt
Filed under: soil metagenome
Description: partial contains 5.8S ribosomal RNA, internal transcribed spacer 2, and large subunit ribosomal RNA
Rfam family: 5.8S ribosomal RNA (bases 1-119)
Source: RNAcentral
GAUGAAGAACGCAGCGAAAUGCGAUAAGUAAUGCGAAUUGCAGAAUCCGUGAGUCAUCGAAUCUUUGAACGCACAUUGCGCCCGCUGGUAUUCCGGCGGGCAUGCCUGUUCGAGCGUCAUUUCAACCCUCAAGCCCCCGGGUUUGGUGUUGGGGAUCGGCUCUGCCCUUCUGGGCGGUGCCGCCCCCGAAAUACAUUGGCGGUCUCGCUGCAGCCUCCAUUGCGUAGUAGCUAACACCUCGCAACUGGAACGCGGCGCGGCCAUGCCGUAAAACCCCAACUUCUGAAUGUUGACCUCGGAUCAGGUAGGAAUACCCGCUGAACUUAAGCAUAUCAAUAAGCGGAGGA